Molecule: unclassified non-coding RNA, 295 nt
Filed under: Hevea brasiliensis (rubber tree)
Lineage: Eukaryota; Viridiplantae; Streptophyta; Magnoliopsida; Malpighiales; Euphorbiaceae
Source: RNAcentral
UUUGAGAAAGCGUAGAAGAAUUGAUCAACUUUGUUUGGGUUGUGGAUAAAAUGGGUUGACCAAGCCUCAUAUAUAGCAUACUGUUAUUAUUAAUACGUCAUAGGGACCAAUCAAGUACAUGGCUAAAUUCAGACAAGACACAAAUAUGGGGCAUUUGGGGAAAAAAAAAAAUUCAAGUUAACUAUCAUCAAAUGCAAUUGAAAAUUUCUCAGGAUUUCCCAGGAAUAAUGACUCACAGAUGAAUUAGUCGAGCAUAUAGAUUCGAGAGGCAAUGUCCUGAACCAACCAAUCAAAU